AUUUAAAAAAAUAAUAAAGAUAAUCUUAGAAAAGCAAAUUCUUGGGCUCCACCCUAGGAGUCAGAAAUUUAGUAGGGCACCCAGAAAUAAGUUUUAAUAAUCCUUCCAGGUAACUUGAUUCACACUGAAGUUUGAGAAUCACUGCUCUAUGCAAAUAGUCGCCUUUUUCUCAGGUUAGAAUCACCUGGAGAGCUGAUAAAAAUUCUCACGUCCAGGCUGCACCUAGAUCAAUUAAGCGGAAUCUCUUAAGGGUGGAAACAGGGCAGCAAUAAAACAGUUCAUCAGGUGAUUCCACUGUGCAGUGUCAGGAAAAAAAAAGCUAUGGCAUUUAAACCUAGACUCUUUAAAUUAUUACAUCCAGGCAUUGCUCCAGCCCAAAAUAAGAAUCUCACUCAGGCCUUUUUGGAGCCCAGCCCUCCAUUAGCUUAUGCCUCAAGUAUAGAUAUGAAAUAAGAAGUGGAGCAUUCUUUGGCUGUUGAUUUGUUAGGGACUGACCAACUUUCAGCAAAAUGUAUUAGCAUGUUAGUGUGUGGAUGUAUUGGAACUGAAUCAUAGAACAUUGGAACUAAAAGAUUCUAGAAUGAAUCUGUCUUAAAGAUGAGAAAAUCAGGGCUCAGAGGUAAACUAACAAUCCAGAUUAGAGAGUCUUGCAGAAGUGCCCUUUCUGUCUUAAAUGUCUUGAAUGUAUCCACUAUAUGAACAUAGGUAAAACUAUCCUUUUUAUCUCGCUUCCCUCUUCUUUCUUUGGGCCUUGAAUAAAGGUCAGAGAACUGAUUGACAGCUGAAGGGUAUUAUUGCAAGCAUCAUGCCUGAUUGGGAGAUUGCACAGAAUAAUCUGAGAAAGAUCUGCCCUCUUAAAAAAGCACAAGAUCAGCUUCUACCAGUUAGAAGACAAAUGUUCCCUGUUCAUCCAACUGGUCAACUCCUGAAAUUGGAUUUGUUAUCUGAGUGCUGAAGAAUUGAUGCUUUUGAACUGUGGUUUUGGAGAAGACUCUUGAGAGUCCCUUGGACUGCAAGGAGAUCCAACCAGUCCAUCCUAAAGGAAAUCAGUCCUGAAUAUUCAUUGGAAGGACUGAUGCUGAAAUUCCAAUACUUUGGCCACCUGAUGCGAAGAACUGACUCAUUGGAAAAUACCCUGAUGCUGGGAAAGAUUGAAGGUGGGAGGAGAAGGGGACGAUAGAGGAUGAGAUGGUUGGAUGGCAUCAUCGACUCAAUGGACAUGAGUUUGAGUAAGCUCUGGGAGUUGGUGAUGGACAGGGAAACCUGGCACGCUGUAGUCCGUGGGGUUGCAAAGAGUUGGACACGACUGAGUGACUAAACUGAACUGAACUGAGUUUGUAGUUACUACAACAUUGAGGGUACCCUUCAGAAAAGCUUAACCUCUCACUCUUUGACCAUUCUUUGCACCAAUUAGGAUAGGUUCACCUGCAAGAAAAGUGCUUUAAGCCAUUGGAAAUUUUCUUGUUUCUUAAGGAAAAUUCCCAAAGUGGGCAGUUCCAGAGUUGACUGGCAACUCAAACAUGUCAUCAGGGACCCAGAGACUUUUCAUCCUUGAGUUUCAGCAUGGGAAGCAUGUUGCCUUGCAUCCUCACAUUUGUCACAAGGUCUCAAGGUGACUACGGAAACUCCAGGCCUUAGGUCUUCACACGACAUUCAAAGAUGAGAAAAGGGGGCAAAGGAAAAACACCUUUCCUGUUCAUCAAGAAGGAAAUAUCUUCCAGACUUUCUUCUAUGCCCAAGAUGGGAACUGGAUCAAAGAACCAUCUCUGACUGCAAUGCAGGCUGAAAGGUGAAUGUCUGGCAAAGAGAUUUAAAGUUCUGAUUGACUUAGACCGGUCACAAUUUCAUGCAUAUUCAGCCUUUCUAUUCUACCUCUUUAGCGCAUUUUUUGAUCUUUCAUUCUUACUGUGGCCAAGGCUGAAGAAAGGGGGGAUGAGCUAACAGUGGCUGCUGUCGUGUGGUGUAGCGUGUCAUAGGAUCCUCUGUGCUCUGAUAUGAAGAAAGGAUAAUAAAGGUACCUAUCUGUUAUGAUUAGGACUGGUC
This 2043-nucleotide long non-coding RNA is filed under the name Bos indicus x Bos taurus (hybrid cattle). Its description in RNAcentral is "lncRNA (ENSBIXG00000023722.1)". The record is from RNAcentral. Lineage: Eukaryota; Metazoa; Chordata; Mammalia; Artiodactyla; Bovidae.